RNAcentral lists this ribosomal RNA (252 nucleotides) under uncultured bacterium. RNAcentral's name for it is "partial 16S ribosomal RNA". It matches the Rfam family "Bacterial small subunit ribosomal RNA", at positions 524 to 775 of the family's 1533-position model. The record is from RNAcentral.
UACGUAGGGGGCAAGCGUUGUCCGGAAUAAUUGGGCGUAAAGGGCGUGUAGGCGGUAACUUAAGUCAGGUUUGAAAGGCUGGGGCUCAACCCCAGAGCUGGACCUGAAACUGAGAUACUUGAGAGCAGGAGAGGGGAGUGGAAUUCCGGGUGUAGCGGUGGAAUGCGUAGAUAUCCGGAGGAACACCAGUGGCGAAGGCGACUCCCUGGCCUGGGACUGACGCUGAGGCGCGAAAGCGUGGGGAGCAAACAG